UACGGGGGGGGCAAGCGUUGUUCGGAAUUACUGGGCGUAAAGGGCUCGUAGGUGGUCAACUAAGUCGGACGUGAAAUCCCUCGGCUUAACCGGGGAACUGCGUCCGAUACUGGAUGACUUGAGUUCGGGAGAGGGAUGCGGAAUUCCAGGUGUAGCGGUGAAAUGCGUAGAGAUGUGGAGGAACACCGAUGGCGAAGGCAGCCUCCUGGGCCAACACUGACGCUCAUGCACGAAAGCGUGGGGAGCAAACAGG
Molecule: ribosomal RNA, 253 nt
Filed under: uncultured bacterium
Lineage: Bacteria
Description: partial 16S ribosomal RNA
Rfam family: Bacterial small subunit ribosomal RNA
Source: RNAcentral